RNAcentral lists this ribosomal RNA (253 nucleotides) under uncultured bacterium. Its description in RNAcentral is "partial 16S ribosomal RNA". It matches the Rfam family "Bacterial small subunit ribosomal RNA", at positions 524 to 776 of the family's 1533-position model. The record is from RNAcentral.
UACAGAGGGUGCGAGCGUUAAUCGGAGUUACUGGGCGUAAAGGGCGCGCAGGCGGUUGUACAAGUGGGAUGUGAAAUCCCCGGGCUUAACCCGGGAACUGCAUUCCAUACUGUUCGACUGGAGUACUGUAGAGGGUAGUGGAAUUUCCGGUGUAGCGGUGAAAUGCGUAGAGAUCGGAAGGAACACCAGUGGCGAAGGCGGCUACCUGGACAGAUACUGACGCUGAGGCGCGAAAGCGUGGGGAGCAAACAGG